GCGGGCAUAGCUCAGUGGUAGAGCGUCUCGUUGCCAACGAGAAGGUCGAGGGUUCGAAUCCCUUUGCCCGCU
This 72-nucleotide transfer RNA is filed under the name Candidatus Pelagibacterales bacterium. RNAcentral describes it as "tRNA-Gly". It matches the Rfam family "tRNA". From Rfam's summary of the family: Transfer RNA (tRNA) molecules are approximately 80 nucleotides in length. Their secondary structure includes four short double-helical elements and three loops (D, anti-codon, and T loops). Lineage: Bacteria; Pseudomonadati; Pseudomonadota; Alphaproteobacteria; Candidatus Pelagibacterales. The record is from RNAcentral.